AUACGGAGGAUGCGAGCGUUAUCCGGAUUUAUUGGGUUUAAAGGGUGCGUAGGUGGGAAAGUAAGUCAGCGGUGAAAUCUUGUGGCUUAACCAUAAGCUUGCCGUUGAAACUGUUUUUCUUGAGUAUGCUUGCUGUAGGCGGAAUGCGUGUUGUAGCGGUGAAAUGCAUAGAUAUCACGCAGAACUCCGAUUGCGAAGGCAGCUUACAAAAGCAUAACUGACACUGAAGCACGAAAGCGUGGGUAUCAAACAGGAUUAGAUACCCUGGUAGUCCACGCAGUAAACGAUGAUUACUAGGAAUUUGCGAUACACCGUAAGUUCUACAGCGAAAGCGUUAAGUAAUCCACCUGGAGAGUACGCCGGCAACGGUGAA
RNAcentral lists this ribosomal RNA (373 nucleotides) under uncultured bacterium. RNAcentral's name for it is "bacterial SSU rRNA". It matches the Rfam family "Bacterial small subunit ribosomal RNA", at positions 523 to 898 of the family's 1533-position model. The record is from RNAcentral.